Molecule: ribosomal RNA, 372 nt
Filed under: uncultured organism
Description: bacterial SSU rRNA
Rfam family: Bacterial small subunit ribosomal RNA
Source: RNAcentral
CGUAGGGUGCAAGCGUUAAUCGGAAUUACUGGGCGUAAAGCGUGCGCAGGCGGUGAUGUAAGACAGGUGUGAAAUCCCCGGGCUUAACCUGGGAACUGCAUUUGUGACUGCAUCGCUGGAGUGCGGCAGAGGGGGAUGGAAUUCCGCGUGUAGCAGUGAAAUGCGUAGAUAUGCGGAGGAACACCAAUGGCGAAGGCAGCCCCCUGGGUCGAUACUGACGCUCAUGCACGAAAGCGUGGGUAGCAAACAGGAUUAGAUACCCUGGUAGUCCACGCCCUAAACGAUGUCAACUAGGUGUUGGGAGGGUAAAACCUUUUAGUACCGGAGCUAACGCGUGAAGUUGACCGCCUGGGGAGUACGGCCGCAAGGUUA